Non-coding RNA from Aneurinibacillus migulanus, 101 nucleotides. NCBI's taxonomy places the organism in Bacteria, Bacillati, Bacillota, Bacilli, Caryophanales, Paenibacillaceae. The record is from Rfam.
AUAAUACUGAUAUUAAUCGUUCGUAUAUCCUCGAUAAUAUGGUUUGAGGGUCUCUACAAGGGAACCAUAAAUUCCUGACUACGGAUGGGUGUUUGCUAUGC